AAGGGCUGUAGUGACUCCAGGGAACGUGUGAACAGUGGUUAUCAGCGGAUCACAGAAUGCAGUUCUCUUUCUUUUGUUGAUGAAGGCACAAGGAUAGAAGUUCCUGCUCCUCCAAGGUGUCAUAUAACCCGUCGGGCUCAGCCCUCCAAUAAUUGAAAACGUUCCCUCAAUAACUGGUUGAAUAGCUGUAGAACAAAGGUGGUUUGAGCUGUAGAGUUUCGUAUAAGAAAUAAUGUAGAAUGGCCAUUUAUCUCAUUUUCUCAUCCAAUUUACACUUCCAAUGCAUGUCAUAUGCCAUAGGUCAUGAUGAAGUUGUGUUCAGGAGCCCAAGGUUAGAUGAAAAGAGGAGUUUAGGUGAGGGCCACAAAGCUGCUAGUGAUGGAAGCCAGUUGCACAGGCUACAGUCUUCUAAAUUGUUUCCAUAAAAGAAACUUGUGAAUUUUGGUACUGGAAACCAACAAACUGGGGGAACAUGAGUGGAGGGAGAUAGGAGGACUGAGCCUAGUUUCCUGACCAGCCCUCUUGCUUGAUUUAUGUAGAGCUGUGUGAUAACUAAGGCCCAGAUUGGAAUACAUUUUAUUAUUUCAAAUUCCAGCAUGAAAGCAAAAGUCAGUGCAUUCCUUCAACCCAUUGCAAAUCUUCAUAGCAACAGAAAUAGGUGGGCC
This 665-nucleotide long non-coding RNA is filed under the name Homo sapiens (human). RNAcentral describes it as "non-protein coding lnc-RNF182-1:3". The record is from RNAcentral. Lineage: Eukaryota; Metazoa; Chordata; Mammalia; Primates; Hominidae.